GAGUCAGGUUUCUCACUGUGAGAGAGGGAGGUGGAAGGUUAUAGACAAGCAAAGGGAGAAGGCUGGAUGAUCCUUGUGAUAAAGGAUUAGAGCUGUAGACAUUGGUAUGGACUUAGAUUUACCUUAAUAUAGAUACAGCUGGUUGCAUACAGAAAUAUUUAUAGAUUUGUGCAUAUGGUUAGGUUGAUAGACAUACAGGUUCGUGUACACAUAUAUAUUUCCUUGUUUUAUGAGCUGAGAGGGCCUAGAAGCAAUGAUACCCCAAUAGCAACUAGCACACUUAGUGCCCACAUCUUGGUUUUCAAAACCAUUUGCCAAAUAAAAAGAACCAGGGCUCCUUGGAGGAAUGGCUGAUGAACCCCAAAAGGAAACAUACAAAGUGUAUCUGGAGCAUCUUGUGGUGCCAGAAAGUAAGGUAGUACUAAAAAAAACAUGGAAGAAUGUCAAAAGGACACAGGAACCAAUUGAAAGAGCUCCAGUGACCAAAACAGGAACAAUUUGAGCAGUAAAAUAAAUAUAGUGGUAUUGGAUUAUUACCCAAAGUGGAAAAUAAAUAUUCAUGAUCCAUGCUUACAUAAAUAAAUGAUUAAAUAAAUAAACAAAUGGGGCAGAAGAGACAAAACGCUGGUGUGUGGGAAUUCCAAGCAAUUUACGUAGACACGUCAUCCUCCAAGAGAAUUGCUCCCCAGUAGCUCCUUAAAUGGCUGUGGGCCAUGCAGAGCGACUGACUUCCAGACAGUGUGGUCUGGAAAGGGGAAGGAAGAGAAAGCUGACACACACCACCUCAGCCAGGUACCUGAUCAAGGUCAACACGAGCUGAUGUCAUGUUGGUAGGAUGUAUCCCUUGAUGUGAUGAAAAUGGCCCUUCACCUCAGUGGUCUUCCUUCCCCACACCCAUAACCCCAGUCUAACCAGCAGAAAAACAUCAGACAAGUUCCAGCUGAGGGGCAUUCUACAAAAUACCUGACCAGUAGUCCUCAAAGCUAAUCAGGAUGAUCAAACACAAGGGAAGUCUGAGAAACUGUCCCAGACAAGAGGAGGCUAAGGACACGUGACAACUAAAUGUCAUUGGUAUCCUGGAAAAGAAAAAGGAAUUUAUGUAAAAAAACUAAGGAAGUCUGAAGCAAGUAUGGACUCACGCUUGGAUAAUAGUAUUAACGAUAUUGUAGGGCUAAUAAUAAUGUAUCAAUAUUGGUUUAUUCAUUGUGACAAAUGUACCAUCUUGACAUAAGAUGAUGAGAGCAGGAUAUUGGGAUUACAGAAUGUGGGAGCUUCAUACUGUCUUCAUAGCUUUUCUGUAAAUCUAAAGCUAUUCUCAAAUAAAAAUUAUAUUUAAAAAAUGUAAGGCUUUGGACCGGUAACUAUUCACAGCUUGUGGCUGGCACAGACGGACUGGGGAGACUGCCUCUGGGAAGGCUUCAAGGAAGUAGAGAAGAUUUCGGGAACUGCUCAGGGUUGAGAAACCUGGCUUGGGAGGCAGGGCUGAGGAGGAAGGUCUGUUCAUGCCCCAGCCUGAGAGGAGGCACCCCUCAGGGAAAGGAUACCUUGGGAAAGGGUGUUUUGGAGCCCUUCCCUGAUCUGGGAGAGCUUCUGGAGGAGGCACGUGGGUGGGGAGUGAUAGCCUGGCUCCUUGUUCUCCUACUUCUUCCCAGCUGACCUAGUCAUCCCUCUGGGCCAGCCCUGCUCUCAUCUGGGGGCAGCCCUCCAGAGUUGUUAGUAGAGUUCAGCUCUGGAACCAGAAAAGCUCCGACACUUACCAGCUGUGUGACCUUUUGGAUAAGGCUGAUGACUUCUCUGAACCUCAGAGUGCUCAUCUAUAAAGAGCGGUUCUAAACUCAAAAAUGCUUUCCAUCCAGGCGGCACUCCAGGACUCAGGCUUCACUAGCCCUAGGGGCUCCCUUUUGCUGUAGGAAUGCAGUUAGAGCUUUUCAAACCAAGAACAAAAAGGGUUUAUUGGUUACAUGGCUGCCUGGAACAAAAACUACCUUUCCCAGGCUCCCUUGCAGCUAAGGCUAGACAUGUGUCCAAGAGUUCUGGCCAGUGUGAUGCAAGCAAAAGCAAGGAGUGCAACUUCCGGAUGACAUCCUUAAAAGGAGGGAAGCAGUCCUCUUGACCAUCUUUUCCCCAGCUGGAGCAAUCUGGAAGCCUAUGUGAUGCCGAACCACCUUGGAUCCUGUGAGUGGGAACAGGACCAUAGGGAUGGCACAGGACCAGGUUAGUUAGGAGAAACUUGAUUCUCUGAUGCCAUUUUGCCCCCAAAUUGUUCAUGCCUAGACUGUUACAUGAGAGGAAAUAAAUAUCUAUCAUGUUUGAGCCAC
Molecule: long non-coding RNA, 2318 nt
Organism: Manis pentadactyla (Chinese pangolin)
Lineage: Eukaryota; Metazoa; Chordata; Mammalia; Pholidota; Manidae
Exons: 3
Source: RefSeq, a predicted model, not a curated record